Molecule: ribosomal RNA, 253 nt
Filed under: uncultured prokaryote
Description: partial 16S ribosomal RNA
Rfam family: Bacterial small subunit ribosomal RNA
Source: RNAcentral
UACGGGGGGGGCAAGCGUUGUUCGGAAUUACUGGGCGUAAAGGGUGCGUAGGCGGCUUUCUAAGUUGGAUGUGAAAACUAUGGGCUCAACCCAUAGCCUGCAUCCAAAACUGGAGAGCUUGGGUUCUGGAGGGGAGAGCGGAAUUCCUGGUGUAGCAGUGAAAUGCGUAGAUAUCGUGAGGAAGACCGGUGGCGAAGGCGGGUCUCUGGACAGUUCCUGACGCUGAGGCACGAAGGCCAGGGGAGCAAACGGG